ACCAACUACUUCCCAGAGCCAGUGACGGUGUCGUGGAACUCUGGAGAACUGUCUGGUGCACACACCUUCCCGGCCAUCCUGCAGUCGUCUGGCCUGUACUCCCUCAGUAGUAUGGUGACCGUGCCCGCCAGCGACUGGACCAGCCAGACCUACAUCUGCAACGUCGCCCACUCAGCCAGCAACACCAAGGUGGACAAGAAGAUCGUGGAACGCGUCACUGUCCCCAAGACACCUGAAUGCCCCGAAUGCAAGUGCCCAGCUCCUGAAUGCCCGGGAGGACCUUCCAUCUUCAUCUUCCCCCCCAAGGCCAAGGACAUCCUCAUGACCUCCCGAACCCCUGAGGUGACAUGCGUGGUGGUAAGCGUAGGCCAGGACCACCUUGAGGUCCAGUUCAACUGGUACGUGGAUGGCAAAGAGGUGGACACAGCCAAGACCAGCCUGGAGGAGGUGCAGUACAACAAAACAUAUCGUGUGGUCAGCUCACUCCCUAUCACACACCAAGACUGGUUCCAGGGCAAAGAGUACAAGUGCAAAGUCAACAAUGGGGCCCUCCAAUCACCUGUUGAGAAGGUCAUCUCCAAGGCCAAAGGGCAGCGCCAGGAGCCACAGGUGUAUACCCUGCCCCCACACCAAGAUGAGCUGACCAAGGACAAGGUCAGCAUCGUAUGCCUGGUGAAGGGAUUCUACCCAUCUGACAUUGAUGUUAUGUGGCAGAGGAACCAGGAGCCAGAGCCUGAGAACAGCUACGCAAACACUGAAGUCCAGCAAGAGGCGGAUGGGACCUUCUUUGUGUACAGCAAGCUCACAGUGCCCAAGGAUAGCUGGCAGCAAGGAACCACCUACUCCUGCAUGGUGUGGCACGAGGCACUGGACAACCGCCACAUCCAGAAGGCCAUCUCCCUGUCUCCUGAGCUGCACCUGGAUGAGAGCUGUGCGGAGGCUCAGGAUGGGGAGCUGGACGGGCUGUGGACCACCAUCUCCAUCUUCAUCACGCUCUUCCUGCUCAGCGUGUGCUACAGCGCCACCAUCACUCUCUUCAAGGUGAAGUGGAUCUUCUCCUCCGUGGUGGAGCUGAAGCGGAACAUCGUCCCCGACUACAGGAAUAUGAUUGGGCAGGCUGCCUAGGGGCUGCUGACAGAGGAACACAUAGAAGCCGAACCCAGCACAGGCUUCAGUGGCUCCACCCUCCACCCAAGCUCCACCUUGCCCUCUGACCUCACCGCUCCUGACCACUUACAGCCCUCUGACCAUGCUGUCUCAUUCCCUCCUGUCAGGGAACCUGGUGGACAGCAGGUUCCCCCCAGACCCAACAGCCUGGAUGCCCCCCUACCCUAUACCUAAAUACCAUUUACAGUAGCACAGGGAGGGCCAGUGGGGUCAUCACACUGGGAGACCCUCAGAGUCAGCUGUGCAUGUCAUUCUGCAGGAGGGGAUGGGCCGGUAUUCCCCAUAUUCAUUUGGAGGAGGAACCUGAGUUCAAGCCUCACCCCAGGCCUGGUUCUGAGAGACACCAUAUCUCAAAGGUCCUUGAGGUGACAUCACAUGCCAAGACAGGGUAGCCACUGACCAUCAUCCCCAGCAGGGAUGCUCCCUGGAAGUGCUGCAACCUUCACUGAAUGGCCCUUCCUCCAACCCUCACCUAGCCAGUUCCACCCUGGGAGACUGCUGGGAUUCCCCCACCACUUCUGUGGCCCCUGGCCUGAGGAAUAGGCUCCUUUUCAUUUUGAACUGGAGAGUUGGUCUCUGGCUCUUGGGAAAGGGCCUUCCAUCCAAUCCUGGACUCCCACGCAGUGCUCUUAGACGUACGGUUCAACCCAACGGACAGAAGCUCCCAGCCUCUGCCUGCAGGGGGGCCAGUCAAAGGCUUUGACCCAGGAUACCCACCAUCUCCCAGCCACCAACCGAGUUCCAGCUCAAGGCCCAGCCUCGCUGCCACCCAGAAGACCACCUGAGAAGGCCUGGGCCAUACCCAUGGACACUGAAGGGCCUGAGGGGUGCAAGGGCAGGACCUCUGGGUGAGGGUGUGGGCCUAUGUGCCAAUCAGGAAGGGCAUCAGGUCUGAGGGGCAAGUGGCCGGAAAACCUCCUGGAAAGAGGCCUGGUGACCAGUGCCCCAAGUGGGCAGGAUGUGCCAUUGGAGGCCACAUCCAUGAGCCCCGGGACAGAGUUGGCCGAAGGCAAAGAGAGUGGAAGUGAGGAGAAUGACUAGAUGCUGAAUGGGCAUCUGGUGAACAAGAGUCUGAUGGGGAGUCGGGCCAGCCCGGCCACAGGCACUGCACAGAGGUCCUGGGGCCAAGCAUUCCCAGCCCUCUGGGUUCCCUGUCUCCCAUCUUCCCUUCGAGCAAAUAUCCAGUAGAGUCACACCACAAAGGAACCAGAGUGCUGACCCCACAUCUUAAGGUGGGAAGAAGAAUGACACAAAUGGAAGCAAACAACACCAAAAAAAUGCCACAUCCAUCAGCUUUGUAGCUUCUUACCUCUUUUUAAUUUUCUGAAUUCCCUUGAUUUUCUUUCAUGUAAAUGUUUCUUUUUUAUUUUUCCGUUACAAUAAAAUGGCCUUAAACCAUAUGAUUUAUCAUGCUGGUAGUCUUUCUACCGUGCUGCCAUUUGAGCUCUUCAAGUACCAGCCCCAGCAGUGAGAUUGCCCAAGCCAUGGGUCCCAGAGCACCCUGCACACACUCAGAUCCCGGCACUGGCCAGGGUCCCUUGGGUGUCCCCAGCAUCAGUGUCCUUUCUUCUCCAGCACACUUCCACCUCGCAGGUAGAGAGAGAGCAGAUGUGCCUCCCACUUGCCCUGUGAUGUAGACAGGACAAAAGGACCUGAGGACAGCCUCUACCCUCACUGUAGGGACUGUGGCCAGCAUUGUGUGGGAAAAGGCCCCAGCUGAUGUCCAUGGUUCCACGUGGUUCAGAAUAGCAGGCCAGGAGUAGUGAUCUCG
Loxodonta africana (African savanna elephant) is the source of this 2938-nucleotide non-coding RNA. NCBI's taxonomy places the organism in Eukaryota, Metazoa, Chordata, Mammalia, Proboscidea, Elephantidae. The record is from the annotation of a RefSeq genome assembly.